CCUACGGGAGGCAGCAGUGGGGAAUAUUGGACAAUGGGGGCAACCCUGAUCCAGCCAUGCCGCGUGUGUGAAGAAGGCCCUCGGGUUGUAAAGCACUUUCAGUGAGGAAGAACGCCUGGUGGUUAAUACCCAUCAGGAAAGACAUCACUCACAGAAGAAGCACCGGCUAACUCCGUGCCAGCAGCCGCGGUAAUACGGAGGGUGCGAGCGUUAAUCGGAAUUACUGGGCGUAAAGCGCGCGUAGGUGGCUUGAUAAGCCGGUUGUGAAAGCCCCGGGCUCAACCUGGGAACGGCAUCCGGAACUGUCAAGCUAGAGUGCGGGAGAGGUAGGUAGAAUUCCCGGUGUAGCGGUGAAAUGCGUAGAGAUCGGGAGGAAUACCAGUGGCGAAGGCGGCCUUCUGGACUGACACUGACACUGAGGUGCGAAAGCGUGGGUAGCAAACAGGAUUAGAUACCCCAGUAGUC
RNAcentral lists this ribosomal RNA (465 nucleotides) under Vreelandella stevensii. Its description in RNAcentral is "partial 16S ribosomal RNA". It matches the Rfam family "Bacterial small subunit ribosomal RNA", at positions 338 to 795 of the family's 1533-position model. Lineage: Bacteria; Pseudomonadati; Pseudomonadota; Gammaproteobacteria; Oceanospirillales; Halomonadaceae. The record is from RNAcentral.